This 305-nucleotide ribosomal RNA is filed under the name uncultured bacterium. RNAcentral describes it as "bacterial SSU rRNA". It matches the Rfam family "Bacterial small subunit ribosomal RNA", at positions 338 to 661 of the family's 1533-position model. The record is from RNAcentral.
CCUACGGGAGGCAGCAGUGGGGAAUAUUGCACAAUGGGGGAAACCCUGAUGCAGCAACGCCGCGUGAGUGAAGAAGUAUUUCGAUAUGUAAAGCUCUAUCAGCAGGGAAGAAGAUGACGGUACCUGAUUAAGAAGCCCCGGCUAACUACGUGCCAGCAGCCGCGGUAAUACGUAGGGGGCAAGCGUUAUCCGGAUUUAUUGGGUUUAAAGGGUGCGUAGGCGGUAUUUUAAGUUAGUGGUAAAACGUCGGGGCUUCACCUUGAUUGGCCAUUAAAACUGGAGUACUAGAGUACAGGCGAGGUAGG